RNAcentral lists this transfer RNA (52 nucleotides) under Paralongidorus litoralis. RNAcentral describes it as "tRNA-Gln". Lineage: Eukaryota; Metazoa; Nematoda; Enoplea; Dorylaimida; Longidoridae. The record is from RNAcentral.
UGUGUUUUAGUGUAAAAGCAUGAAGAGUUUUGGACUCUUAGGCAAAGCACAU